RNAcentral lists this ribosomal RNA (262 nucleotides) under uncultured bacterium. Its description in RNAcentral is "partial 16S ribosomal RNA". It matches the Rfam family "Bacterial small subunit ribosomal RNA", at positions 793 to 1055 of the family's 1533-position model. The record is from RNAcentral.
GUCCACGCCUUAAACUAUGAAUACUAAGUGUCGGCGGUUUACCGCCGGUGCCGCAGCUAACGCAUUAAGUAUUCCGCCUGGGAAGUACGGCCGCAAGGUUGAAACUCAAAGGAAUUGACGGGGGCCCGCACAAGCGGUGGAGCAUGUGGUUUAAUUCGACGCAACGCGAAGAACCUUACCAGGCUGGACAUGCAGGUAGUAGAAGGGUGAAAGCCCAAUGAGGUAGCAAUACCAUCCUGCUCAGGUGCUGCAUGGCUGUCGU